GCCAUGGUGGUCCAGCGGUUAGAACGCUGGCCUUGUAAUCCUGGGGUCUCGGGUUCGAUUCCCGGCGGUGCCC
RNAcentral lists this transfer RNA (73 nucleotides) under Zootermopsis nevadensis. It matches the Rfam family "tRNA". Rfam says of the family: Transfer RNA (tRNA) molecules are approximately 80 nucleotides in length. Their secondary structure includes four short double-helical elements and three loops (D, anti-codon, and T loops). Further hydrogen bonds mediate the characteristic L-shaped molecular structure. tRNAs have two regions of fundamental functional importance: the anti-codon, which is responsible for specific mRNA codon recognition, and the 3' end, to which the tRNAs corresponding amino acid is attached (by aminoacyl-tRNA synthetases). tRNAs cope with the degeneracy of the genetic code in two manners: having more than one tRNA (with a specific anti-codon) for a particular amino acid; and 'wobble' base-pairing, i.e. permitting non-standard base-pairing at the 3rd anti-codon position. Lineage: Eukaryota; Metazoa; Arthropoda; Insecta; Blattodea; Termopsidae. The record is from Rfam by way of RNAcentral.